UACGUAGGGUCCGAGCGUUGUCCGGAAUUACUGGGCGUAAAGAGCUCGUAGGUGGUUUGUCGCGUUGUUCGUGAAAACUCACAGCUCAACUGUGGGCGUGCGGGCGAUACGGGCAGACUGGAGUACUGCAGGGGAGACUGGAAUUCCUGGUGUAGCGGUGGAAUGCGCAGAUAUCGGGAGGAACACCGGUGGCGAAGGCGGUUCUCUGGGCCUGUACUGACGCUGAGGAGCGAAAGCGUGGGGAGCGAACAGG
Molecule: ribosomal RNA, 253 nt
Filed under: uncultured bacterium
Lineage: Bacteria
Description: partial 16S ribosomal RNA
Rfam family: Bacterial small subunit ribosomal RNA
Source: RNAcentral